UCGAGCGGUAACAGGUGUAGCAAUACAUGCUGACGAGCGGCGGACGGGUGAGUAACGCUUGGGAAUCUGCCUGUUAGUGGGGGACAACCCGGGGAAACUCGGGCUAAUACCGCAUACGCACUACGGUGGAAAGCCGGGGACCGCAAGGCCUGGCGCUAACAGAUGAGCCCAAGUCGGAUUAGCUAGUUGGUAGGGUAACGGCCUACCAAGGCGACGAUCCGUAACUGGUCUGAGAGGACGACCAGUCACACCGGAACUGAGACACGGUCCGGACUCCUACGGGAGGCAGCAGUGGGGAAUAUUGGACAAUGGGGGAAACCCUGAUCCAGCGACGCCGCGUGGGUGAAGAAGGCCUGCGGGUUGUAAAGCCCUUUCGGUUGGGAAGAAAAGCUGCGACCUAACACGUCGCGGCCUUGACGUAACCAACUAAAGAAGCACCGGCUAACUCUGUGCCAGCAGCCGCGGUAAUACAGAGGGUGCGAGCGUUA
Molecule: ribosomal RNA, 488 nt
Filed under: uncultured bacterium
Lineage: Bacteria
Description: bacterial SSU rRNA
Rfam family: Bacterial small subunit ribosomal RNA
Source: RNAcentral